Molecule: ribosomal RNA, 372 nt
Filed under: uncultured organism
Description: bacterial SSU rRNA
Rfam family: Bacterial small subunit ribosomal RNA
Source: RNAcentral
CGUAGGUGGCAAGCGAUACUCGGAAUCACUAGGCGUAAAGCGCAGGUAGGAGGUUGGAUAAGUCUCUUGUGAAAGCUCCCGGCUUAACUGGGAGAGGUCAAGGGAAACUAUUCGGCUAGAGUGUGGUAGAGGUAGAUGGAAUUCCCGGUGUAGCGGUGAAAUGCGUAGAUAUCGGGAGGAAUACCUAUGGCGAAAGCAGUCUACUGGACCAUCACUGACUCUGAUCUGCGAAAGCUAGGGGAGCAAACAGGAUUAGAUACCCUGGUAGUCCUAGCCCUAAACGAUGCUCAUUAGGUGUGGGAGGUAUCGACCCCUUCCGCGCCGUAGCUAACGCAUUAAAUGAGCCGCCUGGGGAGUACGGCCGCAAGGUUG